Cebus imitator (Panamanian white-faced capuchin) is the source of this 1107-nucleotide RNA transcript. It is a transcript of the gene named high mobility group protein B1-like, with no coding region annotated. The transcript has a single exon. Lineage: Eukaryota; Metazoa; Chordata; Mammalia; Primates; Cebidae. The record is from RefSeq and is a predicted model, not a curated record.
CUAAAUGUGGGCAAAGGAUAUCCUAAGAAGCCGAGAGGCAAAAUGUCAUCAUAUGCAUUUUUUGUGCAAACUUGUUGGGAGGAGCAUACGAAGAAACACCCAGAUGCAGUCAACUUCCCAGAGUCUUCUAAGAAGUGCUGAGAGAGGUGGAAGACCAUGUCUGCUAAAGAGAAAGAAAAAUUCUAAGAUACGGCAAAGGUGGACAAGGCCUGUUAUGAAAGAGAAAUGAAAACCUAUAUCCCUCCUAAAGGGGAGACAAAAAAGAAGUUCAAGGAUCCCAAUGCACCCAAGAGGGCUUUUUCUUGUUCUGCUCUGAGUAUGGCCCAAAAAUCAAAGGAGAACAUCCUGGCCUGUCCAUUGGUGAUGUUGCAAAGGAACUAGGGGGCAUGUGGAAUAACACUCCUGCAGAUGAUAAUCAGCCUUAUGAAAAGAAGGCUGCGAAGCUGAGGGAAAAAUACAAAAAGGUGAAAUACCAUUGAUUUGAUAAUGGAAAUUUAAAAAAUAAAUAAAUAACACAUAAAAAAAGAAAAAUAUGAAAAGGAUAUUGCUGCAUAUCGAGCUGAAGGAAAGCCUGAUGCAGCAAAAAAGGGAGUUGUCAAGGCUGAAAAAAGCAAGAGAAAGAAGGAAGAGGAAGAAGAUAAAGAAGAUGAUGAUGAUGAAUAAGUUGGUUCUAUUGCAGUUUUUUUGUCUAUAAAGCAUUUAACCCCCCUGUACACAACUCACUCCUUUUAAAGAAAAAUUGAAAUGUAAGGCUGUGUAAGAUUUGUUUUCAAACUGUACAGUGUUUUUUUUUGUAUAGUUAACACACUACCAAAUGUGUCUUUAGAAAGCCCUGUCCUGGUGAUAUUUUCAGUAGCCACUAACCUUUUGUGGUACAGUAUGGGGGUUGUAAAUUGGCACCGAAAUUUAAAGCAGUUUCUUGUUGGUGCACAGCACAAAUUAGUUCUAUAUGGGGAUGGUAGUUUUUUCAUUUUCAGUUGCCUCUGAUGUAGCUUAUAUGAAAUAAUUGUUGUUCUGUUAACUGAACACCACUCUGUAAUUGAAAAAAAAAAGUUGUAGCUGUUUUGUUGACAUUCUGAAUGCUUCUAAGUAAAUAUAAUUUUUUUU